This 73-nucleotide transfer RNA is filed under the name Candidatus Pacearchaeota archaeon. RNAcentral describes it as "tRNA-Thr". It matches the Rfam family "tRNA". Rfam says of the family: Transfer RNA (tRNA) molecules are approximately 80 nucleotides in length. Their secondary structure includes four short double-helical elements and three loops (D, anti-codon, and T loops). The record is from RNAcentral. Lineage: Archaea; Nanobdellati.
GCCUCUAUAGCUCAGUCGGUAGAGCGACUGAUUCGUAAUCAGUAGGCCGGGGGUUCAAUUCCCCCUAGAGGCU